UCGGUGUACAAGACUAGAUAAGUAGGCAUAAUACUAUUUUUUUUUCAAUGAAUAAUAUAUGUCAUUGUCAUGUUACACGUGUGUUGUUAACUAUUGACUUGAUUUUGUUUCAUCUUCUAGACGUUUUCUCAACUUCAGGAAGAGGAAAGCUCCCUGCUCCAGGAAAAAAUAUAUUUAACAAAGGUAAUAUUUAUUUACAAGGACAUGAACAAUGAAAAUGUUGAAAUAAUCUGUAGCAAAUUUGUUGAGCAUCUCUAGAAAAAUUUCCAAUGUAAUAGAACUAAUAAUAUUUCUUAGUUUCAUACAUUGUAUAGGAGUUAUUAUUUUUU
This is a non-coding RNA of Arachis ipaensis, 329 nucleotides long. The record is from RefSeq and is a predicted model, not a curated record. NCBI's taxonomy places the organism in Eukaryota, Viridiplantae, Streptophyta, Magnoliopsida, Fabales, Fabaceae.